AUGUACGAAUGGAUAGUUGACGGCAUAUCUUCGCUGUUUGCGCCUCACGCCGAGCUCAAGUCCCCCGCUUGUUCCAAGGGGGCCCGCGGCCCUCAGUUGUCGAGGGCGGCGGGUCCGGACGCUCGGCGGCAGGAGGAGACCCCCAGCAGGCCGGCUAAGCGGAACUACCAGAGUGUCCACUCACCUGACCUCAAACCUGACCACCGAGAGGUAAAAAGGCCCAGAAAAGAUGUAGUGGUCAGCUUUGUUAAGAAGACCUUCUCCGGAGUCGUAGGACUGCUGCGAUUGCAAAGCCCGUUUACCACACCUCCGGAGAGUCAAAGUGCCUGUACCAGAGACCAGGUUCCUGCAGAGGAGCUGCUGGGAGUUGAUGAAAUCCAGGGUAACGGCUUGAACAAGUGGAUAACUUAUGUGGAAAUGAAGAUGGAGAAACCCAGAGAAGUGAGGUACAAUGGUAAAGUGGGAGCACUGGUCAGGAAACCUAAUAGGACAGGAAUGUUUGUGGAGAGGACCAAAGGAAAGGACCACCGGCGGUCACUUCAGUUCCUACCCCAUCGUUCCACCCUGAAUGACACAACCCCAUGCAGUGUAGAUUCACCUGCUGUGCCCCCAUCAAACUGGAGCCAGAAACCCUGUCUGACUGUGGAGGCGGCUCUGAAAGAAACUGACAGAGAACGAUACAGACUCCUUGUGGAGAUGGUGUCGGAGAAAUACUCCAAGAACAAGCCUCUGCCCUUUGCACAGACACGACCGCCAAUUAUAAAGCCUCUUCUUUCUGAAAUGCAUAGACCAGCUUUCUUCAGUAGAACCCAUGAUGUUAUCGCCGGCAAGGCUGGUCCUUUGAGAGCAAAUGCAAGUGCAUCUGUGUGGAGAGGGGCCUCCUCAGCUGAAUUGUGUAAAAAUGGAAAAGAAAAUGAGAAAGUGGGCCCUCGAUCUGCAAAAGAAACGAAGAAUCAUGACCAGGGUGCUGUCUGCGUGCAGGCUGAAGACACGCUGGCCAGACACCAAGAGAGGUCAUCCAACACUGAAUUCUUGCUUUCUGCUGCAAAGAGCCAUGAAACUACUGCAUGGAAACAGCCUGUCGACGUGGACUUGUCUGCUGAAGUGGCAGCCCGGUUGAACCUAGUGGACUGUGCGCCUGUGACCCCAACCUGCCCUGCAAUCAAGACUCAACAGCCAGUCCAAGAGAGCUAUUCCAGCUCUGAUGAGUUUCCCAGGCUGACCCAGGAGAUGCAGCAGGAGGUAAGGCAGGCCCUAGUGCAGAAGGACCCAAACCUGGUGCUGAGCAGUGCUUUCAAGUUGAGAAUCACUCAGAGGGACCUGACCACCCUGAAGGAUGGAGGCUGGCUCAAUGAUGAGGUGAUCAACUUCUACAUGAACCUGCUGAUGUGCCGCAACGAGCAAGGCAGGGGUAGGAAGGUGUAUGCCUUCAACACGUUCUUCUUCCCGAAGCUGCAUGGAGGUGGCCACGCAGCAGUGCGCCGCUGGACCAAGGCAGUGGAUCUCUUCCAGUAUGAAAUAAUUGUGGUACCGCUGCACAUGGGAGUCCACUGGUCCCUCUCUGUGAUCGACUUCAGGGAAAAGUCUGUGAUGUAUUAUGAUUCCAUGGGCCAGAAACAUGACGACAUCUGCAAGCUUUUGCUACUUUAUUUGAAGGAAGAGCUUAAGAUCAAGAAUGGCAAAGACUUGGAUAUCUCCAAAUGGGUGACAGCCAGUUUCAGUGAGAUUCCUCAACAGAACAAUGGCAGUGAUUGCGGAGUCUUCGUCUGUAAAUAUGCUGACUACAUUUCCCAGGGCAGACCUCUCACUUUUACUCAGAGUCAUGUGCCUUAUUUCCGAAGGAGGAUGAUCUGGGAAAUCCUUAACCAACGGCUGCUAUAAGAGGAUGUAUCACCAUGGAAACGUAACCAGUAACAGUAUGACCAAAGCAAGGGACUGCCGAGUCAGCUGCUCACCCUUGCAUCCUCUCUAAAAUUGUACAUACUGAUCUCAACACCUGGAAAAUGAUAAGCUAUUUUUGCAUAUUUUUCCCUUUUCCCACUUGUAAAGUUGCUAUGGAACAAUAUGAAUGUGAAUGGAGGAGAGAAUAACACUGAACCAAUUGUAAAUGAGUGGUUUUGUAAAAUUACUUCUGGGUGAGGUUCUUAAACUUGAGAACUGCAUAUAUACAUAUAUAUUUUGGUUUACUUACAGCUGAUGCUUAUUUUUGGUGCCUCAGGCCAGAUUUAGUUAAUGUGCCUUGACUCUUCAAUAUACUUUUUGUGUGAAAUGUGUGUAGAUCUCCCCCCAACAUCAAUACGUACACACUUGUGACGUGAACAUUGUAUGGUGACAGUGUACUCACAAAGUGUUAUUUUUUUUCUCAUUGAUAAUUGAGCUGUAUGAAGCUUGUUGUGUAAGUACUUAAUUUUAUAGUUUAACUGAAUGUUCAUAGACCUGUUAUUGAACUGUUGGUUUGACUGGACUAGCAUGUCACAAAACACCUGAAAAUUUUGCUGGUUAUCUUGUUUUCCGUGUUUAGUAUCCUUUGGCGAUAAAUGUGUAGGUAAAUCAAGGUUUAAGUUAAUGCUUGCUCUUGUUUUGAAGAGGUAUUUUCGUAUUGCGGAGGUGCAGUUUCAUUCAUCCUCUGCGUGUUUGUGAAUUCAGGCAGCAGUUCAAUGUGAUGCUUUUCCAUAGGCUUCAUGGAAGUGUACAUGAACAUUACUGAAAUUAAUAAAAACAAAUGGAUGUCAUUGCA
This is a long non-coding RNA of Scleropages formosus (Asian bonytongue), 2737 nucleotides long. The record is from Ensembl. Lineage: Eukaryota; Metazoa; Chordata; Actinopteri; Osteoglossiformes; Osteoglossidae.